RNAcentral lists this long non-coding RNA (3305 nucleotides) under Mus caroli (Ryukyu mouse). Its description in RNAcentral is "predicted gene, 21284 (MGP_CAROLIEiJ_G0003885.1)". The record is from RNAcentral. Lineage: Eukaryota; Metazoa; Chordata; Mammalia; Rodentia; Muridae.
GUAACCUGGCAGGAACACAUCAAGUGAAAACCAGUCUGAGCCCCACUGGGCUAGCACUUCUCAGCAGCCACCCGCCUGUCAUUUCACAGGCUCAGAACCAGGGUCUGGAAUGCAGGUGCCAGGACACUGAAGAAGCAGGGCUCAUCUCCAUAUCCAGAUGCGUUGAAAAUGAACUCCAUCCACCAGAAGCAAACAGCAGAGAGGCAGAAGCAGCCUAGUGCAAGCCUUCCUCCCCCUGGGUUGAAUUCUGCCCAUACUCUGUCUGAUGCCUUCAUCCCUUAGGUCGUGUGGGCAGCCCACUGUUUGGAGUUUUCAUGCUUGAGCUGGGCAAUUUGAUGUUCUUUCCAUAGCAAGAGAGCCCAGAAAUGGUCAUGAAAUCUACAUACCAAAGAGGGAAUCUUAUACAUGUUUCCUCAUGUUAUGUCUCCCAUUAGCAUGCAUGUAGAUGGGUGCACAGAAUAUGUGACAGCUGAGUGCCCGGCCCUGCAAGAGCAUCUGUGUCAAGAGUGCAUCGCUCCAGGCACUCUGGUCUGCAAAAGACAGUCCAGAGAAUGAGAAUGUGGGCACCAGGAGGAGGAAAGGGCCAGGAGGACCAGCACCUGCAGCUCUCCCUGUGCAGGAUGGUGGUGUGCACACUGCCGGGAGAAGACAGUCAUCAGUGCUCUGUGCAGCAGUCCAUUCUGUAUGCUGCAGUGCCCACCUGCUGGGGACGGUAUGCCCAAGAGUGCAAUCAUGGCCUGAGAGCUAGGACAAACAGCCCUGAAAAGGACAUAGUACCAGUACCACCAGAUACCAGGCACAACCUGCAAACCAGUAAUGAUUUACGCAAUGCAACAGAAAAGAAUAAAUCACAGGAGAAAGCUGCACGGGUGAGCACUUCCUGAGCUCUGAAUUCGGCGUCUGGGAUCUUUCUGAAUCUAGAAAUAAGCUACCUGGUUGUAGCUUACACCUGUCAGAUCCCAAGAAAAGCAGCCAGUUCUGAGAGUUUCAGGUCUCNAAACAAGAACAUUCAGAAGCACUCUGUAGGGAAGGAACUGUGUUCCCCUGAAGAUCAUCAGAAGCAUUCGCGGUGCAUGCAAACACUUGAAAGUACGCAUGUGGGAGCUCUUGGGUGUGCACACAGGCAAGUGCUGCUCCAUAGAGNAAAAGUGCAGUGAGAAUGAACUCCCUAGGCUGUGUAAAUGUUUCAUGUGUACAGCUUUUAGGUGUGAUCUCUAUAGCAUGGUCACAUAUGACCUGUGACAGCUGACUCUUGCCAUCCACAAUCAAGAGGAACUGCAAGUUUGAAGAAUCACUUUUAAUAACAUAAAGUUUACAAAUGUUUUUAAAGCCCUCAGCACUGGAACACACACACUCACAUGUGCUCAGAGACCAAAGAGAUUGAAUGGCUUGACUCUGCGGAGAGAAAGACUUGGCUGGCGAGCUUCUAAGAGGCAGAGGAGAGGCCCCGCUGUCGGGGAGGUCAUAUUUGCUUACAUGGAUUUAGCCUAUGGUGAGCANCCCCCGUCCCCCGUUCCUCCUGAAUGUUGAACAGCUCUCCUCAGUCUCCGUGGGACAAUAAUUGGGGCCUCUGUUUUGCUCUGGGAUAAUCACAUAUAUUAUGAUUACACUUCUCUCACCUGCCAAGAGAAAACUUGUCACAGUUGCCUGGGGCUCUCAAUCCCACUCUGUCAUAGCACACCUCAGUGAAGCCCCACCCGCCUCAGUCUUGUUGGGCGUGGCCAAUGAGUCCAGGCUCUCUCUCCAGUGGCCUUGCCCUCCUCAUCUCUGAGUGGACACACUGCUCAGCACCCUUUAUCCCAGCGUCUCUUCCGUCUCUGCCAAUGACUGCACACUGUGUGGAUGUGUAUGAAGCCCUUAGAUGAUGUAUCCCAGCUCCUCUGCUAAGGAGGAGCUCAGAACAGGAUGCAAAGGGAACUGAAUCCUCCUCCACAUAGAAUUAGUCAAGGAGCCGCCUCCCUGCCUCAUGCCUGCCUAUCUGCCUUCUUUUCCUGUGAGACGUGUCUCGCUCUCUAUCCAAGGCUGGCCAUGAACUUGUAGGAAGCCUCUGUUUGCAAAUGGCUGGGAUUACCGGCAUUAGUCACUACUAGAAUGGUUCAUUCUAACUAUUGAAUGGAAGCAAAAUUGUUGAUUCAAGGGUCUCUGAAAAUGAACCAAAUAUAAAGUCAUCCAAUCCAGUGUGGCCAGGAUUCGCCAUGCGCUGUUCCCUCUGUGCAGUGACAUGGACAGCUGCUGACCCUGGAUAUGUUCUUGGAGUGAGUGUCAUAGGAAGCCAAGAGGUAAGACAAUGUCAGAUCAAGGAGGAAUUCUCGUUCUUUACCAGUGUCCCACACAAGACUCUGCAUGUUUCUACCCCNUUAUGAGUUGUCCUUCAGGCAAAUGGAGGACCUGUGUCCACAGAUCAUGAUCACAGGGANCAGGACUUUGAUGGUCGGAACUGCCAUGGACAACCGAGCCCUGUGUCACUAAAGACCAGGCAGCCUGGGAUGGAAAUGCUAAGUCCUUGGGAUUCNCUGCAUGAGCCCCUCUUUGCCAUAAUGACCCAAAGUGGGCUGAAAAUUUCUUCUCCGAGUCAGGCCAAGGCUGACCGGGAGCUGUAACUAUGGACUUUGUUCUCAGCCUGAGUGGAUGAAGCAGUAUUUUUGGAUUUGACUGUGAAGUGAUUCUAAAGGAACUUAUGUGUGGGUUCAUGGACUCAAUAGGCAAGGUCUACCCUCAAUUCAGGUGGCGAUGUGAAGCCAUCAGAGCUUCACUGGAAGAAGCAGUGUAGGAGCAGACACUCCCGCUGCGUCUCUCCUGGGAUAGACGCUUUCUUUAUCUUUUUUUUUUUAAAGGAGAUCCAAGUUUAAUCAUUUUCUACUCAUUAAUUAAUGGCCAUGCUGAUCAAUAAGUCACAUGAAUGUAGAUUUCACUUUAUUUGAACACCACACACAAUACAAAUUUAAACUUGCCACACCCUUCCACAAACCAUCACUGCAUAUAAUAGAGCUCUUUUUUUUGAACAAAGUUAUUGAGCUAUUAUUAUAGAUCAAAAGCACAGUUUUGGGUUUUUUUUUGGUUUUUUUUGUUUUGUUUUUUUAAUUUAGAAGCAUGUUCAAAUGACUAAAGCUGGACUCCUAAAAUCGAGAGCUUUGGUGCAGUAGGUGAGCUGUGGUUACUGACUUCCGCAAAUCAAAAGCACACAAGUAAAACCAAAUAAAAACCCCAAAACAAAAUACCGUCAAACUUUGACAGUUGAAAAAUAAUUGCUAGAAAAAGGAUUCAUCAUCAUGAUAUUAAAACUGAACAAACAGAUUACUCAUGGU